This 324-nucleotide ribosomal RNA is filed under the name uncultured eukaryote. RNAcentral's name for it is "partial 18S ribosomal RNA". It matches the Rfam family "Eukaryotic small subunit ribosomal RNA", at positions 1470 to 1796 of the family's 1831-position model. The record is from RNAcentral.
CCCUUAGAUGUUCUGGGCCGCACGCGCGCUACACUGAUGCAUUCAACGAGUUUCUUCCUGGUCCGAGAGGAAUGGGUAACCUUUUGAAAGUGCAUCGUGAUAGGGAUAGACUAUUGCAAUUAUUGGUCUUCAACGAGGAAUUCCUAGUAGACGUAGUUCAUCAGACUGCAUCGAUUACGUCCCUGCCCUUUGUACACACCGCCCGUCGCUCCUACCGAUUGAAUGCUCAGGUGAGCCAUUCGGACCUUCAUCAUGCCGGUUUCCGGUUUUGAUGAGGGAAAGUCUUGCGAACCUUAUCAUUUAGAGGAAGGAGAAGUCGGAACA